GAUUCGGGGUGCACCAGGCGCGAAAACUUUGCAAUAAGCGAAAGCUUGACAGGGCUAUCCCGAGUGCCAUCCGCUGAGGAAGGCUUUUACCCAGUCUAGAACGCUGGGGGAAUAAGGAGAGGGCAAGUCUGGUGUCAGCCGCCGCGGUAAUACCAGCUCUCCGAGUGGUGUGGAUGUUUAUUGGGCCUAAAGCAUCCGUAGCUGGCUAAGUUAGUCCCUUGUUAAAUCCACCGAAUUAAUCGUUGGAUUGCGGGGGAUACUGCUUAGCUAGGGGACGAGAGAGGCAGACGGUAUUUCCGGGGUAGGGGUGAAAUCCUAUAAUCCCGGGAAGACCACCAGUGGCGAAGGCUGUCUGCUAGAACGCGCCCGACGGUGAGGGAUGAAAGCUGGGGGAGCGAACCGGAUUAGAUACCCGGGUAGUCCCAGCUGUAAACGAUGCAGGCUAGGUGUUUGGACGGCCACGUGCCGUUCUAGUGCCGCAGGGAAGCUGUUAAGCCUGCCGCCUGGGGAGUACGAUCGCAAGAUUGAAACUUAAAGGAAUUGGCGGGGGAGCACAAUCACUAGUGAAU
RNAcentral lists this ribosomal RNA (569 nucleotides) under uncultured archaeon. Its description in RNAcentral is "bacterial SSU rRNA". It matches the Rfam family "Archaeal small subunit ribosomal RNA", at positions 319 to 893 of the family's 1478-position model. The record is from RNAcentral.